Long non-coding RNA from Chrysemys picta bellii (western painted turtle), 2281 nucleotides. RefSeq lists it as uncharacterized. NCBI's taxonomy places the organism in Eukaryota, Metazoa, Chordata, Testudines, Emydidae. The record is from RefSeq and is a predicted model, not a curated record.
CCCAAGCAGCUGAGCCAUGCCACAACUGCAUGAGUUUAGCUCUAAUUUAUGCUGGCGGAGGACGAAGCAUACUGCUGCUGCAUUCUGCCAUGCCUGGUCCCAAUUCACUCAUUCCAUCUCCUUACCCCAGGCUGGAGAGAGUCAUCUGGUGUAGGACUGCUUUCCUGACCCCCACUUCCCCUCAUACACAAAGACAUUUUCUAUUGGUUUAUCUCCAGCUAUAUAAUGCAAUGUUGACUUGUCAGACAAGAGAAGCUGGACCAUCUACUUAUGGAGGCCUAUCACCAGCCCUGUGAGAUGCUGUCAGGCAGCCUUAGCAUAAGGAGGCUCAGGAAUCUUCCCUUGGAACAUUUUGAAAUAUGAGGGCCUGAUCCAGCAAUCCUUGUGCAACAGAGCUUCCUUCACUGACUUCAGUAGAGUUUGUGUGUGAAGAGACGUCAGACUUGAGAUGAUAAUGCUGGGAAAGUGGGGGAGAUUUUGAAUAGCUAAUCUGUAAUAAAAUGUCAGACUUUUAUAUGGAAGUAUCAAUAUACUUCCAUAGAGCCCAGUCUACUACCAGUGACUAUCAUGGAAAAAGAUCAAGCUAGUAGUACUGUUUGUACAAAAUAAAUGCAUUUGUUUUUCUGCCUUUUCAAUGGCUGUUCUGAUUGUCUCAUGGUAAUUACUUUUGUACCUACUAACUAGCUCCUAAAUAAUUGAUAGGGAAAAAUAAAUGCAACAUGCAAUAAAGAGGCAAGUAAAACCUAUGGAGUUAGAGUAAUUACUGUACAUAGCUGGGCUAUGAAAAAUAAAUUACCUAAUCUCCUUACUUUAUGUGGUAAUAGUAAUUUGUCAUUUUAGUGAAUGAGAAGAUUAGAUGUUGAAUAUGUGCUAAGUUUGAAGGUCAAUUGAUUUAAAAAAAAACAUCAUUUGAAUUACUCACAUUGUAUCACUCACAUAUUUUUAGCUGAAAAACAUAAUUGUCUACCUUAAAAUAAUCUUACCUUGAGAUGCAGAAAAUGUAGAUUAGGGAUGGGAAAAGGCUUGGAAACAAUCCAAAACUACUUGAAUAUCACAAGUUCAUUUAAGUGGAACAUAACUGAAAUAUUACUGAAUCAGUUUAUUAUACCCCAGCUCCUGAUGGGAGAGAAAAUCUAAGUGAAGAUCAUGGGGCGGAUCCUCAUGACAAUUUACACCAGCUGAGGCUCUGUCUCUAGAUCUUUUAGGCUUCAAAGACUCGAGUAUAAGUAAAGAUGGUUCAUACGUUAGGGUUUUUUUUACUGGAUGCUGCCCAGCAUGGCUAAGCUAAUGCUACCCUUCAUCCUUUCAUUCAGCUUGCUUGUCAGUCACUUCAUCUUUCUGAGUUAAAGUGAGAACAAAACAAAACAAAACAAAAACAAAACAAAACUAAACACCUUAUGGAGGGAAGGGGGAACUCACAGCUUGAGAAAUCUCACAUGCAGAGAGACUUCAAGGACUUCUCAUUCUCACUGAAAUUUACCAGGCUGACACAGUAUAUGGUAUGUAAACAAGUCAUAGAAACAUAGGAACAUCUUAUGGAAAAGAUUUGUUGGGUCACUUGUUCAUUGCCAAUACAAGAUCAUUCAGUUCAUUACUCUCAAGUGCAUUGUCUAAUGUAGUUUUAAAUGACUAUCAAAAGUUUAUAUCAGUUUCCUUGUGUGAUUGUUCAAAUGGGCCAGCCUUGUGAAUGGAGGGAACCAGAAAGCUAUCAAACAUGGCUACAAUCAAACAGAUAAUGCUUAUAAGGGAAAUAGGGUGGGCUACAGUGUAAGGUUUAUUUUGUUAUGUUACUGUAGCCUCAAGUGUAUAUGACCUGCAUCUAAUUUGGUGUGUGUGCACACAUUCACAUUCAGAGAAAGGAUGCCUUCAAAUUCCAGUUCAAGAAGAUCAGAAAGCCUACAAAAUUUGUGGAUUAAUGAAAUUUAAAUGAGAAUCCAAAGCUUUUCAGAGUACUUCCUCUAGCAUAUAUUAUACAAAGACUGACAUGUAAAUAUUAUGGAAACAAACAUGUUAAAAAUUGCAUUACAAUAGUGAAUUAAUGACAUUUCAUGUUGAGUAUUGUCAAUGUUGGUAGAUGGGUUAGACUCUUCAAUCUCCAUUUCACUAAGGAAAAUGGCUUAGAAAAGUAGCUGAGUGUCUAAUGGAUUGAGAGUCAGAUAUCUGUUGCAUGAUUUGCAUCACUUUAGUUUAGAACAGUGGUUCUCAAACUUUUUUUUCCACGGACCACUUGAAAAUUGCUGAGGGAGUCUGAGGACCACUUAAUGAUCUUUCCAAAUGUUGU